RNAcentral lists this ribosomal RNA (486 nucleotides) under Nematoda environmental sample. RNAcentral describes it as "SSU rRNA". It matches the Rfam family "Eukaryotic small subunit ribosomal RNA", at positions 86 to 570 of the family's 1831-position model. Lineage: Eukaryota; Metazoa; Nematoda. The record is from RNAcentral.
GCCGCGAAUGGCUCAUUACAACAGCCAUAGUUUACUGGAUCUUACUUUCCUACUUGGAUAACUGUGGUAAUUCUAGAGCUAAUACACGCAUGAAAGCUCUGACCGUUCGGGAGGAGCGCAUUUAUUAGAACAAAACCAAUCGGGCCUUCGGGCCCGCCAGUUGGUGAAUCUGAAUAACUUUGCAGAUCGCACGGUCUCGUACCGGCGACGUAUCUUUCAAAUGUCUGCCUUAUCAACUUUAGAUGGUAGUUUACACGCCUACCAUGGUUGUAACGGGUAACGGAGAAUAAGGGUUCGACUCCGGAGAGGGAGCCUGAGAAAUGGCUACCACAUCCAAGGAAGGCAGCAGGCACGCAAAUUACCCACUCCCGGCACGGGGAGGUAGUGACGAAAAAUAACGAGGCGGUUCUCUACGAGGCCCGCCAUCGGAAUGGGUACAAUUUAAAUCCUUUAACGAGGAUCUAUUGGAGGGCGGUGUGGUGCCAG